GUCGGAGUGGCGGAAUCAGGUAGACGCGCAUGGUUGAGGGCCAUGUCCCCGCAAGGGGGUGGGGGUUCAAGUCCCCCCUCCGACA
RNAcentral lists this transfer RNA (85 nucleotides) under Acidimicrobiales bacterium. Its description in RNAcentral is "tRNA-Leu". It matches the Rfam family "tRNA". From Rfam's summary of the family: Transfer RNA (tRNA) molecules are approximately 80 nucleotides in length. The record is from RNAcentral. RNAcentral also lists the same sequence under 1 other name. Lineage: Bacteria; Bacillati; Actinomycetota; Acidimicrobiia; Acidimicrobiales.